UGUUAGUUAAUAUAUUGUUUAUUUAUCAGUAAGUUUUCUUUUAAUAUAUAUUUUAGUUAGACUCAAUUAACUCUGCAGAAAUGACACAGAUAAACAAGCCCUAAUGUCACAAAAGAAGAACUGUCCCCAAUCAAAAAAAUCGUCAAAUUCAAAAGCAUCAUCAAAACAUCAUUUACAGAUUAUUGCAGCAAAUCAAAUUAAAUUACGACAGUUUAAAACAUAAAAUGUAUCGAUCCAGCCCAUGAAGCUAUGGCCAAAAUCUUGGUGCCCAGUAAUUUAUUGGACAAUAAAUUGGAUGUGUAAAAUAAGGUAAUUCAUGCAAGUAAUAUUAUUAAAUGUGGUGGAGCAGCUACUCUUAAAAUUGAAGAAGCUGAAAGAAUGGAGGGAACCAAAGUGGAAUUAAUAAAAAUAAUUUAUUACA
Aethina tumida (small hive beetle) is the source of this 421-nucleotide long non-coding RNA. RefSeq lists it as uncharacterized. The record is from RefSeq and is a predicted model, not a curated record. NCBI's taxonomy places the organism in Eukaryota, Metazoa, Arthropoda, Insecta, Coleoptera, Nitidulidae. The transcript is spliced from 2 exons.